This is a long non-coding RNA of Cyprinus carpio (common carp), 618 nucleotides long. RefSeq lists it as uncharacterized. Lineage: Eukaryota; Metazoa; Chordata; Actinopteri; Cypriniformes; Cyprinidae. The record is from RefSeq and is a predicted model, not a curated record. The transcript is spliced from 5 exons.
UAAGCUACUCCUAAAUAUUAAAUAAACUUGAAUUGAAUUGAAUGUUAUGUAAAUGUAUAUUUAAUAAUAUAAUAUAAUAUAAAAGUUAUAUGGUUUUUAAAAAACGUUAGUGAAAGUUGUGAUGGCAUCUUUAAUGUAGAUGGGACAUCAUCUGCUCGCUGUAAUCUAUCACAGGAGGGCCGUUGGUAUCAUCCUGUGCUGCGGCCCAAAGGUUCCUCUUAGCAUGCUUUGGGUUUGGCAGCUGAAGAGAUGCACUUUCACAUGCCAGUGGAGGUCACCCAGAUUUUCUAAAGAGUUGCAUCAACAACGCUAAAUACCAAUAUCAGCACCAAGAUCUGAGCAAAGUUUGUCGCCCAACACAGCAACAAUGACUCAACCAAUGGCGUUCGUUUGGGGGCGGGGCUACCAGUUUUUUCUGAGCAGCAUCUGCAAGACCCAACACAGCAACAGUGACUCAACCAAUGGCAUCUGUUUGGGGGCGGAGCUACCAGUUUUUCCUAGCAGUAGUAGAAAGGAUUUGAUUUCUGAUGGCUAACUGUAAAUUUAAACCCUGAAGAGUUCCAGUAGAGCCACAGGGUCCAUUUGGUAACAUCGUAACGUGGCGGUGACUGGAAAUGG